GAGCGGAUGACGGGAGCUUGCUCCUUGAUUCAGCGGCGGACGGGUGAGUAAUGCCUAGGAAUCUGCCUGGUAGUGGGGGACAACGUUUCGAAAGGAACGCUAAUACCGCAUACGUCCUACGGGGGAAAGCAGGGGACCUUCGGGCCUUGCGCUAUCAGAUGAGCCUAGGUCGGAUUAGCUAGUUGGUGGGGUAAUGGCUCACCAAGGCGACGAUCCGUAACUGGUCUGAGAGGAUGAUCAGUCACACUGGAACUGAGACACGGUCCAGACUCCUACGGGAGGCAGCAGUGGGGAAUAUUGGACAAUGGGCGAAAGCCUGAUCCAGCCAUGCCGCGUGUGUGAAGAAGGUCUUCGGAUUGUAAAGCACUUUAAGUUGGGAGGAAGGGCAGUAAGUUAAUACCUUGCUGUUUUGACGUUACCGACAGAAUAAGCACCGGCUAACUCUGUG
This 448-nucleotide ribosomal RNA is filed under the name uncultured bacterium. Its description in RNAcentral is "bacterial SSU rRNA". It matches the Rfam family "Bacterial small subunit ribosomal RNA", at positions 64 to 507 of the family's 1533-position model. The record is from RNAcentral.